Molecule: transfer RNA, 59 nt
Organism: Loxodonta africana (African savanna elephant)
Lineage: Eukaryota; Metazoa; Chordata; Mammalia; Proboscidea; Elephantidae
Rfam family: tRNA
About the family: Transfer RNA (tRNA) molecules are approximately 80 nucleotides in length. Their secondary structure includes four short double-helical elements and three loops (D, anti-codon, and T loops).
Source: Rfam
AGCAGUUAAGCAUUUGGCUGUUAACCAAAAGGUUGGCAGUUUGAAUCUACCAGCUGCUC